AAACUAUGAACACCAAGUGUUUGAUGAAAUGCCUACAAGAAUGAAUUUUGAAUGAAUGCUUUCACAUUAUGUUCUCAAAGUUUUAGUACUAUUUUGCUAUUAUUGCAAUCGAGUCCUGGGGGUUAUGAAUACCCAAAAAACAUAGUUGUUUACUUAGUCUUGGUAUCUUCAGGAUAGUUUCAAUUAUGUUAUGAGCAUUAUCAGUUGAGUCAGUUAUCAUAAUCAGUUAAACUCAGAACAAUUUAGUAUUCUGAGUCAAUUUAGUUGGG
Molecule: long non-coding RNA, 269 nt
Filed under: Capsicum annuum
Lineage: Eukaryota; Viridiplantae; Streptophyta; Magnoliopsida; Solanales; Solanaceae
Description: long non-coding RNA (CANN_LNC014208)
Source: RNAcentral